UUUGGAGACAUCCCUGUUUUGGGGCUGGAUGUGGAGUUUUGGAGACAUCCCCAUUUAUUUGGAGACAUCCCUGUUUUGAGACUGGAUGUGGGGAUUUGGGGCUGGCUUUGGGUUUUUGGAGACAUCCCUGUUUUGGGGCUGGAUGUGGAGUUUUGGAGACAUCCCCAUUUAUUUGGAGACAUCCCUGUUUUGAGACUGGAUGUGGGGAUUUGGGGCUGGCUUUGGGUUUUUGGAGACAUCCCUGUUUUGGGGCUGGAUGUGGAGUUUUGGAGACAUCCCCAUUUAUUUGGAGACAUCCCUGUUUUGAGACUGGAUGUGGGGAUUUGGGGCUGGCUUUGGGUUUUUGGAGACAUCCCUGUUUUGGGGCUGGAUGUGGAGUUUUGGAGACAUCCCCAUUUAUUUGGAGACAUCCCUGUUUUGAGACUGGAUGUGGGGAUUUGGGGCUGGCUUUGGGUUUUUGGAGACAUCCCUGUUUUGGGGCUGGAUGUGGAGUUUUGGAGACAUCCCCAUUUAUUUGGAGACAUCCCUGUUUUGAGACUGGAUGUGGGGAUUUGGGGCUGGCUUUGGGUUUUUGGAGACAUCCCUGUUUUGGGGCUGGAUGUGGGGUUUUGGAGACAUCCCCAUUUAUUUGGAGACAUCCCUGUUUUGGGGCUGGAUGUGGGGAUUUGGAGACAUUCCCCAUUUAUUUGGAGACAUCCCUGUUUUGGGGCUGGAUAUGGGAGUCUGAAUACAUCCCUGUUUUGGGAUGGAAUGUGGGGAUUUGGAGACGUCCCCAUUUGUUGGAUGUGCGGGGUCUGGAGACAGCCCUGUUUUGGGGCUGGAUGUGGGGAUUUGGAGACAUUCCCCAUUUAUUUGGAGACAUCCCUGUUUUGGGGCUGGAUAUGGGAGUCUGAAUACAUCCCUGUUUUGGGAUGGAAUGUGGGGAUUUGGAGACGUCCCCAUUUGUUUGGAGUCAUCCCUGUUUUGGGGCUGGAGGUGGAGAUUUCAGGCUGGAUGUGGGGAUUUGGAGUCAUUCCUGUUUUGGGGCUGCAUGUGGGGAUUUAG
Molecule: long non-coding RNA, 1044 nt
Filed under: Chrysolophus pictus (golden pheasant)
Lineage: Eukaryota; Metazoa; Chordata; Aves; Galliformes; Phasianidae
Description: lncRNA (ENSCPIG00010009626.1)
Source: RNAcentral